CACGCACACGCGUGGAAGGAGGAAAAAAUGAAGCGUCCACAACACAGCACACGCGUACGGCGUACGGGGUGCUCCUCUGUCUCGUAGUCUCCUUCCUCCCAACUACCAAUUCCCCUUUCUCUGUCAAGCGUUGCGGUGGCGGUGCCUUUGAUUUGAUGCCGUCGUCGCCAAAUCGCUGGAGCUGGCCUGCAAUUGGCGCUCUCCUUGCCUGCACCGCCGGCACCCGGCAACCGAGUUGCCUUCUGACGGCCUGCCGCGCCAUCCCGUCAAAGCCUAACCCGAGCAGGACGGGAAAAGGCUGUGCUAGCCAGAGUGAAAGACACUGGAGAAGUGGAUUAUAGGGGGCAAGCCGACAGCUACGAUUGACGGCAUGCAGCCUUCGGUCAAAGGAAAGCAGCCACACACCGUCGGAAGCUGAGGAUCCGUUCCAUCAGCGGCGGUCGGACGAAGGCGGCAGCACCCGUCGGUGCAGCGGAACACUGGAUGCAGCUUGAUCCACCACAGUUACAUCCUUGGCGGUGGUAACCGUGAAUCCUUCCAACUUGCCGCCGCUGGGCCGAAUGUUGGAAGAGAGCCGGCGUGGCCACGACUGUCUCUCGAGCCGGGAUUUCAACAGCACCACCAGUCGCAUGGGGUGAGCAAGGCUGCAAGGGAAGAUUUUAUGGAUCUUUGAAGUAUUCAGAAGAAGAAAAUCACGAAGAAACUAUAGGGCCCUGAGAUGAGCUGGAAAAAAAAGGAAAAGGGAGAAUUAAGCUGCAGGAGCACCUAUGGGCACAGGGAGGAGCACUGUUCAGUGGCAAAUGAAAAGAAGGCAAAGCAUCAGCAAGCAUAGAUUCAGUCGUCAGUAGCUGGAAUGGAAAUUAUUUUUAAGUUAACAAGAAAUGGUACAAGACUUCUGUGUCAUGGAAGGCUCCAGAUGCAGAUAGUCACUUUCAUUCAUGAACCCUGGCAACCUGGGAAGCUCAUGGAAGCACCAGACUUGGAUCCCUUGUUGAAAUAAAUAAAGGAGUAUGGUCAAGAAUGGGCAAACAAGACUUACCCCUUGCACUUGGAGCAGAGGACAUUAUGGGAAAGUGGGAGCUUCCACUCUUGCAACAUACUACCAUGGUGUUUAAGGCGUCCGCCUUAGGACGCUUAGGUGAUAGAGCGCCCCCAGCGCCUUAGAGCUUUGUUCACUUUAGGUCCUAUUUAGGCGGUAGAGAGCCCCCCGGCGCUUUAGGACACCUUACCGCCUUAAAACCCACGAUAUAGUUGGGUCAUGCAUAUAUGAAAUGAAUCAACGCAUAUGUCAGCAAUCAGGCCAUUCCAUCAACUGAAAGUCAGCCCGCUUGGUUUUCUUGCCUUUCUUCAGAUUUGGCGAGAUCUGUUUCUCGACGUGUCGCUGGCGUUUGUCGUUUGUCAUUGCCGUUCUUCAAAUCUUCAGACUUUCCAUAUUGUAAUAUUGUAAUAUUCAGACUUUCAAGGGUUCUCAAUGGCGCGGACUCUGCAGCACCAUUGACACCGUUGUAAUCUGUAUGGAACGAGGCGAGAGUUCGAA
Long non-coding RNA from Lolium perenne, 1537 nucleotides. RefSeq lists it as uncharacterized. The record is from RefSeq and is a predicted model, not a curated record. Lineage: Eukaryota; Viridiplantae; Streptophyta; Magnoliopsida; Poales; Poaceae.